This 315-nucleotide ribosomal RNA is filed under the name uncultured bacterium. Its description in RNAcentral is "bacterial SSU rRNA". It matches the Rfam family "Bacterial small subunit ribosomal RNA", at positions 28 to 334 of the family's 1533-position model. The record is from RNAcentral.
GAUAAACGCUGGCGGCGCACAUAAGACAUGCAAGUCGAACGAACUUAAUAUCUUGCUUGCAAGAUAAGCGGUUAGUGGCGGACUGGUGAGUAACACGUAAGAAAUCUGCCUAUUAGAGGGGAAUAACAGUGAGAAAUCAUUGCUAAUACCGCAUAUGCCAUAGUUAUCGCAUGAUAAUAGUGGGAAAGGAGAAAUCCGCUAAUAGAUGAGCUUGCGUCUGAUUAGCUAGUUGGUGGGGUAAAGGCCUACCAAGGCGACGAUCAGUAGCCGGACUGAGAGGUUGAACGGCCACAUUGGGACUGAGAUACGGCCCAG